This 259-nucleotide ribosomal RNA is filed under the name uncultured prokaryote. RNAcentral describes it as "partial 16S ribosomal RNA". It matches the Rfam family "Bacterial small subunit ribosomal RNA", at positions 524 to 782 of the family's 1533-position model. The record is from RNAcentral.
UACGUAGGUGGCGAGCGUUAUCCGGAAUUAUUGGGCGUAAAGAGCGCGCAGGUGGUUGAUUAAGUCUGAUGUGAAAGCCCACGGCUUAACCGUGGAGGGUCAUUGGAAACUGGUCGACUUGAGUGCAGAAGAGGGAAGUGGAAUUCCAUGUGUAGCGGUGAAAUGCGUAGAGAUAUGGAGGAACACCAGUGGCGAAGGCGGCUUCAUGGUCUGUAACUGACACUGAGGCGCGAAAGCGUGGGGAGCAAACAGGAUUAGA